Stegodyphus mimosarum is the source of this 73-nucleotide non-coding RNA. The record is from Rfam. Lineage: Eukaryota; Metazoa; Arthropoda; Arachnida; Araneae; Eresidae.
GCCUUCGUCGUGUAAUGGUCAGCACACUGAGCCGGUAUUUCAGAGGUCCGUGGUUCGAUCCCCGGCGAAGGCA